This 336-nucleotide ribosomal RNA is filed under the name uncultured bacterium. RNAcentral describes it as "bacterial SSU rRNA". It matches the Rfam family "Bacterial small subunit ribosomal RNA", at positions 8 to 334 of the family's 1533-position model. The record is from RNAcentral.
AGAGUUUGAUUAUGGCUCAGGAUGAACGCUAGCUACAGGCUUAACACAUGCAAGUCGAGGGGCAGCAUUUCAGUUUGCUUGCAAACUGGAGAUGGCGACCGGCGCACGGGUGAGUAACACGUAUCCAACCUGCCGAUAACUCGGGGAUAGCCUUUCGAAAGAAAGAUUAAUACCCGAUGGUAUAAUUAGACCGCAUGGUCUUGUUAUUAAAGAAUUUCGGUUAUCGAUGGGGAUGCGUUCCAUUAGGCAGUUGGUGAGGUAACGGCUCACCAAACCUUCGAUGGAUAGGGGUUCUGAGAGGAAGGUCCCCCACAUUGGAACUGAGACACGGUCCAA